Molecule: ribosomal RNA, 253 nt
Filed under: uncultured bacterium
Lineage: Bacteria
Description: partial 16S ribosomal RNA
Rfam family: Bacterial small subunit ribosomal RNA
Source: RNAcentral
GACGUAGGGCGCGAGCGUUGUCCGGAUUUAUUGGGCGUAAAGAGCUCGUAGGCGGCUUGUCGCGUCGACUGUGAAAACCCGCGGCUCAACUGCGGGCCUGCAGCCGAUACGGGCAGGCUAGAGUUCGGUAGGGGAGACUGGAAUUCCUGGUGUAGCGGUGAAAUGCGCAGAUAUCAGGAGGAACACCGGUGGCGAAGGCGGCCGACUGGCCGAGUGCUGACGCUGAGGCGCGACGGCGUGGGGAGCAAACCGG